CAGUCGCCACGGUAAUACGUAGGGCGCAAGCGUUAUCCGGAAUUAUUGGGCGUAAAGAGCUCGUAGGCGGUUUGUCGCGUCUGCCGUGAAAGUCCGGGGCUCAACCCCGGAUCUGCGGUGGGUACGGGCAGACUAGAGUGAUGUAGGGGAGACUGGAAUUCCUGGUGUAGCGGUGAAAUGCGCAGAUAUCAGGAGGAACACCGAUGGCGAAGGCAGGUCUCUGGGCAUUAACUGACGCUGAGGAGCGAAAGCAUGGGGAGCGAACAGGAUUAGAUACCCGGGUAGUCCCUGUCUCUUAUAC
RNAcentral lists this ribosomal RNA (301 nucleotides) under uncultured bacterium. RNAcentral describes it as "partial 16S ribosomal RNA". It matches the Rfam family "Bacterial small subunit ribosomal RNA", at positions 509 to 807 of the family's 1533-position model. The record is from RNAcentral.